Molecule: ribosomal RNA, 245 nt
Filed under: uncultured bacterium
Lineage: Bacteria
Description: partial 16S ribosomal RNA
Rfam family: Bacterial small subunit ribosomal RNA
Source: RNAcentral
GACGGAGGUGGCAAGCGUUAUUCGGAUUUAUUGGGCGUAAAGGGCGCGUAGGCGGUUUGGUAAGUCUGAUGUGAAAUCUCCAUCGCUCAACGAGGAAAUUGCAUCGGAUACUGCCAAUCUUGAGUAUGGAAGAGGUAAGUGGAAUUCCUGGUGUAGCGGUGGAAUGCGUAGAUAUCAGGAGGAACACCGGUGGCGAAGGCGGCUUACUGGUCCAUAACUGACGCUGAGGCGCGAAAGCGUGGGGA